GCUUCCAUGGUGAAAUUGGUAUACACGGCAGAUUCAAAAUCUUUUGUCUUUUGGCAUGCUGGUUCAAAUCCAGCUGGAAGCA
RNAcentral lists this transfer RNA (82 nucleotides) under Sargassum fluitans. RNAcentral's name for it is "tRNA-Leu". It matches the Rfam family "tRNA". From Rfam's summary of the family: Transfer RNA (tRNA) molecules are approximately 80 nucleotides in length. Their secondary structure includes four short double-helical elements and three loops (D, anti-codon, and T loops). RNAcentral also lists the same sequence under 4 other names. Lineage: Eukaryota; Phaeophyceae; Fucales; Sargassaceae. The record is from RNAcentral.